This 356-nucleotide ribosomal RNA is filed under the name uncultured bacterium. RNAcentral describes it as "bacterial SSU rRNA". It matches the Rfam family "Bacterial small subunit ribosomal RNA", at positions 354 to 697 of the family's 1533-position model. The record is from RNAcentral.
GUGAGGAAUAUUGCGCAAUGGGGGAAACCCUGACGCAGCAACGCCGCGUGUGGGAAGAAGGCCUUCGGGUCGUAAACCACUUUUUGCACGGGACGAAAAAGGGAUAUCGAACAAAUAUCCCCGAUGACGGUACCGUGAGAAUAAGCCACGGCUAACUCUGUGCCAGCAGCCGCGGUAAGACAGAGGUGGCAAGCGUUGUUCGGAAUUACUGGGCGUAAAGAGUCUGUAGGUGGUUUGUCAAGUCUUUGGUGAAAGGCCGUAGCUUAACUAUGGGGAAUGUCCAAAGAGGACUGGCAGGCUGGAGGCUGGGAGAGGGAAGCGGGAAUUUCUGGUGUAGCGGUGAAAUGCGUAGAUAU